GCUCCAACCCACGCACUGUGAGGUCAUGACCUGAGCCGAAAUCAAGAGUCGGGUGCUUCAUAAUCAACUAAGCCACCCAGGUGCCCCAAUUUCUAUGUCCUUUUUUUGGAAAAAAUAUUGAAUAUCUGGUACCAACCAACCAGAAGAGUCUCACUGCUCUAAUGAGCCUCUGGUUUCACCUGUUCACCCCUUCCUCUUUCCUUGAAACCCCUGGUCUUUUUAGUGUCUCUCCAGAUCUGCCCUUUCCAAAAUGUCAUACCGUUGCAAUCAUGAACAUUUCACGGUGACUCAGAUGGCCUUUACUGGAAAGUCUAAAGGCUCUGUUUCUCAUUUCUCUUCUGCUUCUUCCCAUUGCCUUCCUUUUGCACCAAGGAAAACCCUGGUCGUGGUUAUUAACUAACCGGCUCCUUCCGUGCCUCCUUCCGUGCCCAGGCGACCAAAGCUGCCUAAGUGCCAAGUAGCACCACUCGUGACUGGCACGUCGUUCUAGAUCUCCCCCAGGGCCUACCGAGGAAAUUCCUCAUGACACAGCAGACGAAGAGGCUCCAUCUAAUGCCAGGGGGGACUCAAGGCCCCGUGAAAAUGGUACGUGUUUUAGAAUCAUUUACCUAUGGAGGAAAAAUCCUCAAGAAAAGAAAGGUGGGGCUUUCUUGCUGGUUUCAGUCUGGAAGGUUGCCCUAUUUCCAGCUUCCUGUUGGGAAAGGGGACAUUUCUGGAAGGACCGAUUUUCCAGAUAAGAACCAUGGCCAGUGCUCCAGUCCCUGGGAACAGCCACGCUCCCUUAUACGGUGCGGGUCUGUGUGUAUGGGCUUUAGGGGCAGGGUCUCUGUGUGCGUCUGCGUGGUGUGAACGUGUGGUGUGGGCAGUGCCUGUGGGUAAGAGCAUGUGUUUCCCCAGGAGAUAUAUGCCCCAUGUACACGUCCCAAUGCUGGGUCCUUUUUCUCAGAAAGAACCCCAUCGCCCCACACGCUUUGCAUACAUUGUCUUGUUCACCCCUCGUCACAGCUGUGCUGGCGUUGGCUUUCUCUCCCCGCCCCUCAGAGAGAGGGGCAGAGGUGCAGAGAUGAAGGGCCCAAGCUCUGGAGCUACCAGGUGGCCCCCAGGCACGUGGCUGCAGCUCUGAACUCUGACCUGCACUGCUCACGCGCACUUGACGUGGGGCGAGGGAGUUACGGCAUCUGGGAACAUGCCUGGAGCGCCAGAGUCCACCCAGGUCCCAGAUCCUGCCAGCCUUACAAGGUGGCCUCAUCGGUCACGCAGCCCCCCCGCAGCCACAAGUGCAUUCAGCUGACUUUGGCACGGCCAUUAGUGUGAAAUGCACGUAGGAAGCCCUGUGCUCCCGGUCGGCCCACAGUUUCUGAGAAGUGUGAGGCCACCUCGGACAAUGUAGGUCAACACCUGUCAGUGCUGGGGUCACUCCUCAGCCUCUGGCCCGAAGCAGAUAAGACUCAGGGAGAUACUUUAGGGCAUUUAAUAACAGGAUCACCACAAGCCCUGGAAGCGUUGGGUUGUGUGAGCCUAAUGGCCGGGGACAGUGACAAACAGGAACUCAAUAUGCGCUUUGUUAUCAGCCCGGACUCUGCCUCUCUCUCCCUUCCCGCCCCUCUCCUUUGCCUCCUUCCUUCACCGAGACGGGUGGCCCAGAACAGCUCAGUUCUUGCUUGUUGACCCGUUGCUGCCAGGCAGGCUGGGCCCGUGUCAUGUCAAGCAGAACCCCCAACGUCAGCACAGCAGCACCACCAUUGAGUGAUAGUUACCCUGUGUCCUCCUGGCUGCCCCCCGAGGGCCUGGCGGAGCAGCAUCCUGGGACAGGGCCGAGGCCAAGGCCCCGUCCAGUGCCACGGUGAGCUGACCUGCCUGUGUCUGAGACACAAACCCUGCUUUCUAGGUUUCUUUCUUUCAGUUGAAUUCAUGUGUGAAAAUGUGGGCAUGCUCAUCAGAGACGAUAUUGAUCAGUUCCUUGUUGGGGAUGGGUGUCGAGUCCUACCAGUGACAUCUGGUUCAUGCGGCUGUUUGCGAAGGGUUGCACCAGCUCGUAGACUGUGUGUGUGUGGGAGGAGGGGGUGGGGGUAGAGGGGGGCAGGGCUUUCCUUAGCAGAAAUCCCCCCUCAUCGGACUAAGAAUCUCAUGACUGGCAACCGACAUGGACUUGAGAGGACGUGAUCCAGGAAUUUUCAGCAGCGUUCUCUACUCUGGCCUUUGGGGCUUCUACUGGAUGGUCUCCCGGCUAGGUCUCUAAAGUCACCCAGAGGACACAUGGGAGCGAUCUGAUCCUCAUGCUUGUCUGUCAUUGCAGGUGGUCUCGGGAGUCAGUGAAAAUAGUAAGUUCCAUGGAGUCCCACACUUGCUGGGGAAAGAUCUAGGUGGUGAGAGACCCGGGGCUUUCCUGCUGGCUUUCAUUGGGAGCACCACCCCGAUUCUGGGUGCCUGCUGGGAACGGGGGCUGGGGAUGUGGGGAACGAGGCUGACACUACAGGGAAAGAACCGUGGCCAUUUCUUCACAAGCACUUUUGCUCCCUUUGGGUGGUGAGGGUUUGUGUGUAUGGUGGUGGGCUCUUCCCUGUGUGAAUCUAGGUGGUGUGGCUCUGAGUGUGGUGUGAGUGUGUGUGUGUCUCCCUAGACUGGUGUCCCCUCCAAAAACGCAGCUGACAAUGUCAGCUUCUAAGUGAAAACUCCCAUCACCAUUGUUUCAUGCAAUUGUAUGUACUUCAAAUUUGAUCAAAUUCUGCACUUUGAGUGUAUACAGUUCGUUGUAUGCUAAUAAACUUGGGGGGAAAUCCCACUGCCAGCUAGGAAGGGUUCCCAGCAUUCUAAGUGGACAAAACUGUUUCAGAAUCACCAUUAUUGGGUCAAUAACCACUUCAUUUAAUGAUAGAUCUCACCUCUGAGCAGGCUGUUUCCUUAACCCCAUGGCAGAUGGAUCAAUCCUAAUUUAAGAGAAGGAGCCCUAAUGGUAUCUAAUUGGCCUCUGGGACAAGGGAGGCCAGAGAGGGUGAUGGAUUACGGGGAAUAGCACAGCCUGUGGAUGGGGAGCCAGGCACUGCGACGAGGCCCUCGGCCCUAAGCCCCAUGGACUGUCUCUCACGCAUCCCCUGCCUGGGGACCACUUAUGAGCAGGGAUGAGGCAGGAGGAGCCGGGGUGCCGGGUGAGAGCACCACAUGGACAUCGUCCUAAAAGCCCGGGGAGAGGGCCUUCCUUCCUGUCCCAGCCUCUUCUCCAUCUACCAGACUCUUUCCUUCAUUGACACUGGGGAGGGGCAGACAGUGGAGUCAGGUCUCCUGUUCUCCCACCCAGGACAUAUCACAGGGAUGGAACCAGAGCCAGGCCAGACACAAGGAGGUUCCCAGGCCUGAUCCACUGGGGGCCGGGGGGGGGGGACCAGCUUGUACUCUUCCCCUGCUUCUGGGGGUCACCUGACAACCAGUCCUUGUCUACACACUGUUGGCCAAGAGUUAUUUGGCUGGAAACACAUUCAUACAAAAGGGAUCUCACCCCACGUGACCAGGGCAGCUGUAGAACAUUCUAGUUGCAGAGGAGGUGAGAGGGGCCCAGGCUCCAGUGCACAGGGAGUUGAGCAAAGUGGUGGGGGCUGAUCCCAGGGUUAAGGUAGUCCUCGCUGUACCUUUCCCUGGCUCUGAGGACAUCAGUUGGAGAAUUUGUCUGACAGGUAUUGGAAUUCUCGGUUCUAAACCCUAUCCGUUCUAACCCUUCCUUCCACUCGUGGGCACAGGAGCCCUAGCCCUGGGUGGUCACUACAAAGGCACUGACAGCAUCUCCCUCACUCUUGUCUCACACAGUGCUCAGCACUGGGAAGCGCCUCUUGUAAAACCUCUGGGCUGGGAUCUAGUUCAGGGGUGGAAAGGUCCCUCCUCAGUUUGUCCCAGCCUGUCGGGCCCCACACUAAGUUGGGUAUCUGCCCCGGCUCUGGUCCAGAUCCGAGAGAGGGGGGUGGCUUCCUGAGGACAGUGAGGUGCCCCCCCCCACCCUGCUGCGCUGAUUACAUCCAGCACAGGUGUGGGGGGUGAUGCUCUUCACUCUGCUUACAAGUGGGCCCCGGCUGGGAUUCCUCGAGGGCUUGGGGGGUGGCCGUCCUCUCUGAGUGUUCCCAGGGACUCAUGGAGUGCCUGGCACAUGUGUAUGAGCCCUAAGAACCUAUUAAUGGAAGAUCGUGUCAGGCCAGCAAAUCCUCUGCAGGCACCCCCAGGGCAGGCACGUCACGUCUUCUGCAUCUUUGGAUCCGACAGCUGCACUCUCCAGGGGGGAAGCCACUAGCCAGACGUGCGGGCUCAUGUUUAAAUUAAUUAAAGCAAAUGAAGUUAAACAUUCCAUCCCUCAUCACACUAGCCACAGUUCAGGUACCCAGCAGGUGCAUGUUUACAACACAGAGCAUUUCCAUCCCGACAGACGGCUCUCCUGGGCAGCUGCUCGGAGCCUGGCCCAGGGUGUGCUCAUGGAACCCACCUAACCCAACAUGUGUCCGUCACAGUGGGAAGGUCAGGUUGGUUCGUGCCCAGGUGAGAGCUAUCACGAUCCAGUGCAGCUGGGGAAGUGCCAGGUGAAGGCGGAUCCUUUCUCUCAUUUGCAGGUUUGCAAGGGUGGUCAAUGUCUCCUUGAAGGACGCUGACUCCACCGAGCCCAGGGAAGGUCUGAGGACCCAGAGGAAGGACAGCUGAUGCCGGGUGGGCCAGCAUGGCCUCAGCUGGGGCAGCAGGAACAGGGGAGACCCUCUCUCUAGUACGCUGCUUGCUCAUGCUUGUGUCUGUAAAGGUUGGAUUGUCCACUGAAGAUAUGAUUCGAGCAGCAAGGUUGAAGAACCCCUAGGUAGGGAACAGCCCUCAAGUGUAUCAGGAAAUGGUUUCUGGGAGCUGUCAGGUUAUACCUGCAGCUUUGGAGACUGAGGGAGGUGGGUAUGAAAUCAGAGAGAAAAGGAAAUGUGCGUCCUUCUCAUAUUUUAACGCUGUAGGAAUAAGAGCUGUUAUGUCUGUUGGCUUAGGGUGUACUGUUCGCAAUCUUUUCUUGCUUUGUUAUUUAAAGUCUCUCUUUCCGCUAAGACCUGCUCUCUUCUGCUCUGCCUCUGCCAAGCAUCAAAGCCUUGGUUACGGUAGGUUCCCACGUCUUGGGACUUGAGCAGGGGCAGUUUACUGGGUCGGAUUUGGUGUGAUCUGUGACAGAGGUGGUCUGAUGAGGCAUAUUCUGGCAUGCACACUUGAAACGGAGACAAAGUGCUUCCAUGUGAGCUGGGUGCUGGGGACCCGGGGACCCUCUCCCUCUGCACCUUCAGGUCACGGAGCGGCACCUGUAUGGGCUACCUUCAGCUUUGCCCCUGGGUGAAAGGGUGCUCCCUGGGUGGGCAUCGCAGAGAACGUUUCCUCUCCAGCUCCUGCAAGUGCUCCUGGGACCGUCUGAAGAAGUGAGGUGGGAGGUGCUCCCUGGAGCAAGUUCUCUCCUCCUCUCCUCACCCAAAUCCAGGGUCCCUGGAGCCGAAUAAAUCCUGUACUUGCCUCCACGUGGAAGGGACCUCUGUGCAGCUCCCCCCCCCCCACACACACACACACGCUGAUACCCUCCCUGGUUGGCAGGAUUUCUAGAGGCCUGUGUGAAUGCCACUGGGCCCUCACACACACUGGGUCUCCAGGCCCCGCUGAGCUGUCUCCUGGGAGUGAACAGCCCCAGGAAAGAGGCUCUUGGCAGUGGGGCUGGGGUUCCUGCCCCUGUCAGAUCCCACUCCUCCAGCCACACAGCAAUGGGCCUGCUCCCCACACCACGGUUAUAGCCCUCCGUGUGAUCUUUCUUGUGCCUGUCUGGGUCCUCGCCCACUCCUUCCAGUGCUCAGGGCAGAGGCUGGCAGGCACAGGGGUUUCUACGGCUGCACCUGUUGAUGUUUUCCCCUCGCUUCACCUAUAGACUGGGGGACUUUGGGCAAGUUAUGUUACCUCUAAUGUCACGGUCACUGUCCCUAAGGGGCUGGGACUAAUGUGGAGGAAAGGGCUGUGGGAACGCCCAGUGUCCCCCAGGUACCUAAGGUCAGAGCAGGCACAGGCCAGCCACACGGUAUGGGGAAUGGAUUGUCUUCUCCAAUGGCCCAGCACAACCAUGAAGGUGCCCCUGGAUUUGGCUGGAUUGAUUAGUUGAUGGAUUGAUUGGUUAGGGAAGGUGGCAGUAUAGCCAUGGCAUGCACACUUGGGUUCCACUCUCCCCAUAUUGGAGGAAAAUACAAAGGUGGAGGCUGACCAGGAGACGGGAAAUGGACAGGAAUCUGGAGGGAGGAAGGAGUCCAGGUGGUCAUUGGAGAGGGAAGUUGGGAGGCGGGCAGUGUAUUGCACACAAAGUCCUAGGGACAGUGACUGCCUCUUGGAGGGACGGGGUGGCUCAGGUGCUGCUUCCUGGUCCCAGGCAUGGAAUCUGAGGACUAGGAAGGGCCUGGAGUCCCUGGACCUGCUCCUCAUCACAUUGGAGAAAGGUGGGAAGAGGGCCCCAGGGGGAUUGUAGUGUGAGGGCACAGUUGCCAUCUGGGGUCAGGGAUGUAAUCCCAGAAGCAGCAGCCUGAGUUCUCACCUCCCCUGACCUCAUCCUCUCUUUCCCACGGCCACCCCAUCACUGUCGCUGCCCUUGUGCACGCAGAAGUCUGUUUUACAGAUCCGGAGGGUUAGGAUUCAGACACUAGCCAUCUGCAUAUAAUUUACUUCCUACUUCUGGCUCUUUUCUAUCUAUUUCUGGCGCUUAAGUCUCCUGUGUGACUCUUCCCUGCUCCCUCUUUGGAUGAUUCCCAUCCUGAAGGACCCAGUCCCAUCCAGGCCCAGGAGGGCCUAGCAUCUCCAGUGUCUAUAUAAUCUCCCCAGCAUCCCGUCACCAGCUUUCCCAGCAGCACCCUGUUCCCAGGGCUGAGCAGCCCUGUGUGGUGGCUUGGGCACCAGGCUGGAAUGAGGAGGGCUGGGAUCGCUCUGCCGGAGGGCCCCCCGGGAGCCUGUGUCUGCCCUGGCCGAGCCCGUCUUGGUGCUCUCCUGCCCCAGAGAUGGGGAUGGGGGCCUCUGCAAUCACAUGACUGUCUUCUGCCUUACAGCUACCAAGAUCACACAAUUUUAAAACAAGAAUGAUUCCAUCAGGAAUCUGAUUCCAGAAAUCCUCCUGUCGUGGAUGAAAGAGAAUGUGUCAGGAAAGAAGGGGCAUGGAGUGGAACAGGAGGAGGAAAUGGAGUGCAGAGAGGCAGGAGGAAGUGCAGAAGGCAAACAAGUGCCCUUCAGGGAACCGGAAUGCCCAGGAGCUCGCUGGGGCAGCCCACAAUGCACGUGACCUUGCAGGAGGACAUGAAGGUUAUGGCCACGUUCCACAAGUGAAGGGUGUACUGACAACAUAGCCCAGGGCGCAGAUAGCCAUGCCCUGCCCAGCCCUAACUUUGUUGGGCCACUGACUCCUGCCUCCACUGACUCCUGCAUUUGGACGACAGGGCUGGAGGCCCCUGCGGGGCCACAUGGAGCAGGUCACAUUGUGUUCUUUGGGAAACGUGUCCCUGGAGGGUUCAACAUCUCAGUCCUGCAGGACCCUAUGCUGCCCAACCCUCUCAAGGGAAACAGCGAGCACAUCAGCCACUCAACAAGGUGAGAUAGUGCAGGGUAGGCUGGGUUUUUCCCAGUUCAGGCUCCCAGGCAAAGAGGGAGGAGGACAGAGGCCGGGGGUCUCCCUGUGAAUCAAGUAAGGUGGUUCCCAGGGCUCAGCUCCGCAUCCUCAUGGGCAUAGAGCAGCCUGUCUUUAGAUAGGGGCCACAGCAGCCUCCAGUCCGGGCUGGGAGUUUCCCAAGGCCAGUCAUCCCCUCAAACCCUUCAGAGUCCUCUGGACGCCCUGGGUCACCUUGUGGCACCAUUUCUCAGACUGGGAUUCUACAGAUUUGUCAUAUAUGCAGAAAAACCAAAGAGAGCAGACAAUUUUGAAGCAAAUUCAAUGCAGUGCUAGCUUGGAAUAUGUUAAGGAGUAAGGUUUUCCAGUUACUUACAUGUCUCUUUCCAAUUUUGUAAAUAAAUAUAAGAAAUAGAACUUGUAUUAUA
Long non-coding RNA from Felis catus (domestic cat), 8040 nucleotides. RefSeq lists it as uncharacterized. Lineage: Eukaryota; Metazoa; Chordata; Mammalia; Carnivora; Felidae. The record is from RefSeq and is a predicted model, not a curated record. The transcript has 2 exons.